ACCGCAGCGCCUCCUCGUCGUCCUCCUCCCGCACCGACCGCCCGAACGCGUCGCUCCGCCCGGACGCGCCCCGCCACGACGACGCCGUCCGCCGCAUGCUCCCGCCGCCCGCCGCCGUGCUCCCCAUCCUCAUCAUCUCCAUGUCCUGAGCAUGCAUAGUUUGACCUGCCCGCGCCGCGCGCCUGAGCGGCUUGACCCGUUCAGUUUAGGGCGCCUCUGUGGGAUGGGACUCGGACCGGCCGGCCGGGGCAUCGCAUCGGGGUCAUCGCGGCCGUCCAUCGCCCGAUGGAUGAUACACGUGGCGUGUCGGCGAGGCUUCCGUACGGGGAGGGCUGGCAUAAGUCAGCUGUGCAGGUAAACGGAUGAUGGCUGCGUGUUCGGGCUCUGGAUUUUCCAUAUUUCCACGGGUUUUCCGGACAUGCAUGCAUUAUGAUAGAAUGAGAUGCAUGUAACCGUAUGUACCAUGGAAAGAAAAUGUGCGUUUAUGACGACAAAAUGGCAUGCACGAACAAAAUGGAAACCCAAGAAAAUGUCGAGAAGGCUAUUCCCUCCGAUCCAUAUUAGUUGUCGAAAUAUUAUAUGUAUCUGUACAUUUUUUUAUUCAUACAUACAUCCAUAUGUGGGCAAAGUUGAGACAAUUAAUAUGGAUCGGAAGGAGUAGCAAAAUUGGGAUGAGAUGAGAUUUAACCGUAUAUACCACAGAAAGAAAAUGGCGUGCAUUACAAUGACAUGCACGAGCAAAA
This is a long non-coding RNA of Brachypodium distachyon (stiff brome), 743 nucleotides long. RefSeq lists it as uncharacterized. The transcript has 2 exons. The record is from RefSeq and is a predicted model, not a curated record. NCBI's taxonomy places the organism in Eukaryota, Viridiplantae, Streptophyta, Magnoliopsida, Poales, Poaceae.